RNAcentral lists this transfer RNA (73 nucleotides) under Actinomycetota bacterium. Its description in RNAcentral is "tRNA-Val". It matches the Rfam family "tRNA". From Rfam's summary of the family: Transfer RNA (tRNA) molecules are approximately 80 nucleotides in length. Their secondary structure includes four short double-helical elements and three loops (D, anti-codon, and T loops). RNAcentral also lists the same sequence under 1 other name. The record is from RNAcentral. Lineage: Bacteria; Bacillati; Actinomycetota.
GGGGCGUUAGCUCAGUUGGUAGAGCACUACCUCGACAAGGUAGGGGUCAGUGGUUCGAGUCCACUACGCCCCA